RNAcentral lists this ribosomal RNA (225 nucleotides) under uncultured bacterium. RNAcentral describes it as "partial 16S ribosomal RNA". It matches the Rfam family "Bacterial small subunit ribosomal RNA", at positions 113 to 334 of the family's 1533-position model. The record is from RNAcentral.
CGACGUGGUAACCUGCCUGGUAGUGGGGGGUAACUAUUGGAAACGAUAGCUAAUACCGCAUAAUAACAGUUGUUGCAUGACAACUGUUUGAAAGGUGCAAUUGCAUCACUACCAGAUGGACCUGCGUUGUAUUAGCUAGUUGGUGGGGUAACGGCUCACCAAGGCGACGAUACAUAGCCGACCUGAGAGGGUGAUCGGCCACACUGGGACUGAGACACGGCCCAG